RNAcentral lists this ribosomal RNA (848 nucleotides) under uncultured Bacillota bacterium. RNAcentral's name for it is "bacterial SSU rRNA". It matches the Rfam family "Bacterial small subunit ribosomal RNA", at positions 13 to 880 of the family's 1533-position model. The record is from RNAcentral. Lineage: Bacteria; Bacillati; Bacillota.
UUGAUCCUGGCUCAGACGAACGCUGCGCGCGCUAACACAUGCAAGUCGAGCGAGUUGGAAUUUCGGUUUUAACUUAGCGGCGGACGGGUGAGUAACGCGUGAGUAACCUGCCCUUCAGCGGGGGAUAGCGUCUGGAAACGGACGGUAAUACCGCAUAACGUGCGGAGGAGACAUCUUCACUGCACCAAAGGAUUUAUCCACUGAAGGAUGGGCUCGCGUCCGAUUAGGUAGUUGGCGGGGUAACGGCCCACCAAGCCUGCGAUCGGUAGCCGGACUGAGAGGUUGAUCGGCCACAUUGGGACUGAGACACGGCCCAGACUCCUACGGGAGGCAGCAGUGGGGGAUAUUGCACAAUGGAGGAAACUCUGAUGCAGCGACGCCGCGUGAGGGAAGAAGGUCUUCGGAUUGUAAACCUCUGUCUUUAGGGACGAAGAAAGUGACGGUACCUAAAGAGGAAGCCACGGCUAACUACGUGCCAGCAGCCGCGGUAAUACGUAGGUGGCGAGCGUUGUCCGGAUUUACUGGGUGUAAAGGGUGCGUAGGCGGGUUAUCAAGUUGGGUGUGAAACCUCCGUGCUUAACACGGAGCCUGCAUUCAAAACUGGUAAUCUUGAGUGAGGUAGAGGUAGAUGGAAUUCCCGGUGUAGCGGUGAAAUGCGUAGAGAUCGGGAGGAACACCAGUGGCGAAGGCGGUCUACUGGGCCUUAACUGACGCUGAGGCACGAAAGCAUGGGUAGCAAACAGGAUUAGAUACCCUGGUAGUCCAUGCUGUAAUCGUUUAUUUCUAGGUGUGGGUGGACUGACCCCAUCCGUGCCGGAGUCAACACAAUAAGCAAUCCACCYUKGGGA